This 75-nucleotide antisense RNA is filed under the name Streptomyces sp. SolWspMP-5a-2. RNAcentral describes it as "ASpks TB sRNA". It matches the Rfam family "ASpks TB sRNA". The record is from RNAcentral. Lineage: Bacteria; Bacillati; Actinomycetota; Actinomycetes; Kitasatosporales; Streptomycetaceae.
CUUCACGGAGCCCAGCCACAGCGGCCGUCCGUCCGGACGCUCGCGCCCGUAGGUGGCCAGCAGCGCCUCGGCCUC